GAUGAAGAACGUAGCGAAAUGCGAUAAGUAGUGUGAAUUGCAGAAUUCAGUGAAUCAUCGAAUCUUUGAACGCACAUUGCGCCCCUUGGUAUUCCAUGGGGCAUGCCUGUUCGAGCGUCAUUUGUACCUUCAAGCUUUGCUUGGUGUUGGGUGUUUGUCUCGCCUUUGCGUGUAGACUCGCCUUAAAAUAAUUGGCAGCCGGCGUAUUGAUUUCGGAGCGCAGUACAUCUCGCGCUUUGCACUCAUAACGACAGCGUCCAAAAGUACAUUUUACACUCUUGACCUUGGAUCAGGUAGGGAUACCCGCUGAACUUAAGCAUAUCAAUAAGCGGAGGA
RNAcentral lists this unclassified non-coding RNA (336 nucleotides) under soil metagenome. Its description in RNAcentral is "partial contains 5.8S ribosomal RNA, internal transcribed spacer 2, and large subunit ribosomal RNA". The stretch from base 1 to 120 matches the Rfam family "5.8S ribosomal RNA", at positions 35 to 154 of the family's 154-position model. The record is from RNAcentral.